GAGUUUGAUCCUGGCUCAGAUUGAACGCUGGCGGCAUGCCUUACACAUGCAAGUCGAACGGCAGCACGGGAGCAAUCCUGGUGGCGAGUGGCGAACGGGUGAGUAAUAUACCGGAACGUGCCCAGUCGUGGGGGAUAACGCAGCGAAAGCUGUGCUAAUACCGCAUACGAUCUCUGGAUGAAAGCGGGGGACUCGCAAGAGCCUCGCGCGAUUGGAGCGGCCGAUAUCAGAUUAGCUAGUUGGUGGGGUAAAAGCCCACCAAGGCGACGAUCUGUAGCUGGUCUGAGAGGACGACCAGCCACACUGGAACUGAGACACGGUCCAGACUCCUACGGGAGGCAGCAGUGGGGAAUUUUGGACAAUGGGCGCAAGCCUGAUCCAGCAAUGCCGCGUGCAGGAUGAAGGCCUUCGGGUUGUAAACUGCUUUUGUACGGAACGAAACGGUCUGCCCUAAUACGGUGGGCUAAUGACGGUACCGUAAGAAUAAGCACCGGCUAACUACGUGCCAGCAGCCGCGGUAAUACGUAGGGUGCGAGCGUUAAUCGGAAUUACUGGGCGUAAAGCGUGCGCAGGCGGUUAUAUAAGACAGAUGUGAAAUCCCCGGGCUCAACCUGGGACCUGCAUUUGUGACUGUAUAGCUA
This 641-nucleotide ribosomal RNA is filed under the name uncultured Albidiferax sp. RNAcentral's name for it is "bacterial SSU rRNA". It matches the Rfam family "Bacterial small subunit ribosomal RNA", at positions 9 to 643 of the family's 1533-position model. The record is from RNAcentral. Lineage: Bacteria; Pseudomonadati; Pseudomonadota; Betaproteobacteria; Burkholderiales; Comamonadaceae.